This is a long non-coding RNA of Mytilus trossulus (common blue mussel), 694 nucleotides long. RefSeq lists it as uncharacterized. The transcript has 3 exons. The record is from RefSeq and is a predicted model, not a curated record. Lineage: Eukaryota; Metazoa; Mollusca; Bivalvia; Mytilida; Mytilidae.
UUAUUGCGGAACACCCACAAAGAGACAUAAGUAAUAUCUAUUUAUAUACAUAAAAUUGCUUUACAAAGUAAGAGGAGUCAAGGAACAUUAUUUGCAUACUAAUUUAUUGUUUGAAUAUCUGAAAUGAGCUCAGAAGCGUAUUGUAUUAAAUAUCGUGGAUUAAUAUUAACUACAGUGUAGGAACAUUUAAGGGACUUUCAUCAUAGCUGUAAUUAAUGGUUUAAAUGUCCCCUGGCUUAUUUAAAUACAUUAUUUUGAGUAUGCUAUUUGGUUUUGGAUAUGAUGAUUGUGAAAAUACUAAAUAUUUAUCUAAUUGCCGUCAUUUCAUAAGUUUCUAGUCCUAAGAUUGUACUUUUUUGGAGCUCAUAGCAGAGCCGACAGUUAUUUUCCAUUUCUCUGAGGAUCCCAGGCAGCAAACCUGAAAUUCCAGAUCUGCAAAUGGAGAGGAAAAUGCUGAUUGUUUUAGAACUUUUGGUUCUGUUAAGUUUGACAAUUGCUGAAGGAGAAUGUCCUUAUAAGGGUCUGAAAAGACAGUUCGCUGAUAAAGGGAAAGAUUAUGCUGAUGUGAACCCAAAUAUUUCAGGAGCCUAUGACUUUAAUCCAAAACUUCCAAUAAAAGUAUACGGAGAAUCCUAUGAACAAUAUAUUCAUUACAAGAUAGGAAAUGGCACCAGAUGUUCAUUUGCUGUAUUUG